AGAAUCAACGCUGGCGGCGUGCCUAACACAUGCAAGUCGCACGAGAAAGGGACUUCGGUCCUGAGUAAAGUGGCGCACGGGUGAGUAACACGUGAAUAAUCUACCUCCGAGUGGGGAAUAACUGAGAGAAAUCUCAGCUAAUACCGCAUAACACUUACGAGUCAAAGCAGCAAUGCGCUUGGAGAGGGGUUCGCGGCCGAUUAGUUAGUUGGCGGGGUAAUGGCCCACCAAGACGAUGAUCGGUA
RNAcentral lists this ribosomal RNA (245 nucleotides) under uncultured bacterium. RNAcentral describes it as "partial small subunit ribosomal RNA". It matches the Rfam family "Bacterial small subunit ribosomal RNA", at positions 26 to 285 of the family's 1533-position model. The record is from RNAcentral.